Molecule: transfer RNA, 70 nt
Filed under: Euapta godeffroyi
Lineage: Eukaryota; Metazoa; Echinodermata; Holothuroidea; Apodida; Synaptidae
Description: tRNA-Val
Source: RNAcentral
CAAAGUAUAGCUAGGAAGUAAGCUUUUCUCUUACACAGAAAAAAUACCCGUGCGACUCGGGUUACUUUGA